CCAAAAAUCAAACUUAGUAGUCAUAACAAUUAAUACAAAUAAAUAUCCAAAAAUCAAACUUAGUAGUCAUACAUAACAUAAAACAUAAAAAUUAAUAUACAUAAACAUAAGCAUAACUAAAUGAUGAUGAUGAUUCCGAUGCACGCUUAAGCAUGAACAAUGUUCGCUUCCUCCUCAACAAAGUCAUACUCAUCACCUACAACAUUCAAAUUAGUGUAGUUAGAUUUAUCACCUACAAAGCUACAGAUUCAAUAUGCAAAUAAAACAUAUAAUUUUUACCUAUUUCUUGAAAACCCCCAAAUAAAAUAUGCAACUUGCAUCGACGCCCAAGAAUCACAAGAAAUAGCUCAAGC
RNAcentral lists this long non-coding RNA (353 nucleotides) under Capsella rubella. RNAcentral describes it as "long non-coding RNA (CRUB_LNC002000)". Lineage: Eukaryota; Viridiplantae; Streptophyta; Magnoliopsida; Brassicales; Brassicaceae. The record is from RNAcentral.